RNAcentral lists this ribosomal RNA (783 nucleotides) under Tepuihyla exophthalma (big-eye slender-legged treefrog). Its description in RNAcentral is "partial 16S ribosomal RNA". The stretch from base 166 to 783 matches the Rfam family "Bacterial large subunit ribosomal RNA", at positions 569 to 1667 of the family's 2925-position model. The record is from RNAcentral. Lineage: Eukaryota; Metazoa; Chordata; Amphibia; Anura; Hylidae.
UAACAACCUAGCCCCCUCAAAAAUCUAAUGAGCCCGUUAACUUAACACUACGAAUUAAAACAUUUUAUAAAUUUAGUAAAGGCGAUUAAAAAACUGAUAGGAGCAAUAAAAAAGUACCGCAAGGGAAAAAUGAAAUAAAAAUGAAAUAAAUAUAAAGCACAACACAGUAGAGACUAGCUCUCGUACCUUUUGCAUCAUGGUUUAACUAGUCCAAUCAAGCACAACGACUUAAAGUUUGACCUCCCGAAACUAAGUGAGCUACUUCAGGGCAGCUUAUUGAGCUAACCCGUCUCUGUUGCAAAAGAGUGGGAAGACCUUCAAGUAGGGGUGACAGACCUAACGAACUUAGUGAUAGCUGGUUACUCAAGAAAAGGAUUUUAGUCCAGCCUAAAGCCUUCCCAGUCCCCCAAAACACAACUUUGACUUUAGAGUAAUUCAAAUAAGGUACAGCCUAUUUGAAAAAGGAUACAACCUAAGCUAACGGGUAAUAUUUUUAUCUUAUAACCAAGUGGGCUUAAAAGCAGCCACCUUUAAAAUAGCGUCAAAGCUUUAUUAUAACGGUUAUUAAUUCCUUUCAAUAUACAUAACCCUUUAAUUCUAUUGAGUAAUUCUAUAUUAUUAUAGAACGUACAAUGUUAAAACUAGUAACAAGAAGAAGACCUUCUCUUAAAUGCAAGUGUAAAUCAACAAGGACUAACCACUGAUAAUUAACACCCAUGAAAAUAUUUUAGUAACCUUACAAGAAAAUUCUAAUAAACUAUGUGUUAACCUAACACAAGAGCA